GCCUGGCUGGCUCAGUUGGAAGAACAUGUGAUUCUUGAUCACAGGGUUGUGAGUUUGAGCCUCAUGCUGGGUG
RNAcentral lists this transfer RNA (73 nucleotides) under Felis catus (domestic cat). It matches the Rfam family "tRNA". From Rfam's summary of the family: Transfer RNA (tRNA) molecules are approximately 80 nucleotides in length. The record is from Rfam by way of RNAcentral. Lineage: Eukaryota; Metazoa; Chordata; Mammalia; Carnivora; Felidae.